AACCUCCGCAAUGUGAGAAAUCGCGACGGGGGGAUCCCAAGUGCCAUUCUUAACGGGAUGGCUUUUCAUUAGUGUAAAGAGCUUUUGGAAUAAGGGCUGGGCAAGACCGGUGCCAGCCGCCGCGGUAACACCGGCAGCUCUAGUGGUAGCAGUUUUUAUUGGGCCUAAAGCGUCCGUAGCCGGUUUAAUAAGUCUCUGGUGAAAUCCUGUAGCUUAACUGUGGGAAUUGCUGGAGAUACUAUUAGACUUGAGACCGGGAGAGGUUAGAGGUACUCCCAGGGUAGAGGUGAAAUUCUGUAAUCCCGGGAGGACCGCCUGUUGCGAAGGCGUCUAACUGGAACGGUUCUGACGGUGAGGGACGAAAGUUAGGGGCGCGAACCGGAUUAGAUACCCGGGUAGUCCUAACUGUAAACGAUGCGGACUUGGUGUUGGGGUGGCUUUGAGCUGCUCCAGUGCCGAAGGGAAGCUGUUAAGUCCGCCGCCUGGGAAGUACGGUCGCAAGACUGAAACUUAAAGGAAUU
Molecule: ribosomal RNA, 521 nt
Filed under: uncultured bacterium
Lineage: Bacteria
Description: bacterial SSU rRNA
Rfam family: Archaeal small subunit ribosomal RNA
Source: RNAcentral